UACACACCGCCCGUCACACCAUUUUUUUUUUUUUUUUUUUUUUUUUUUUUUUGGAGUGGGUUUCACCAGAAGCAGGUUCCCCCCCCCCCCCCCCCCCCCCCCCCCCCCCGCCUAACCGCGAAGGGGGCGCCUACCACGGUGAGAUUCAUGACUGGGGUG
Molecule: ribosomal RNA, 159 nt
Filed under: uncultured bacterium
Lineage: Bacteria
Description: partial 16S ribosomal RNA
Source: RNAcentral